CUGCCCUUCUCAUUAGCCAAGAGGCAACGGAAGAAGGUAAAAAAACGAAAUGGUCGAGAGAUAUUUUUUUGGAGAGGCCAAUACUUGGUUGGCACAACGAGCUUCUUCCGAAACUCAGAAAUGGAAACGAAGAUUUGUUCUUCAAUUUCACUCGUAUGUCGGUUAAACAGUAUGACUAUUUAUUGUCUCUUGUGAGUGAGAAAAUGACCAAAAAAAAAAAAAAAAAAAAAAAACACUUGCAUGAGGAAACCUCUGACACCAUCUGAGAAGCUUUCUGUAUGCUUAAGGAAAACAUGUUGAAAUAAAAGCUCCUGCAUUGGCAGGUUCGACAUAUACGAACUACAAAAAAUUCAACAGCAUAGUGUUGAUGGCAUCUUGUGACGCAAAUUACUGUUUUGUAUUUGUAGAUAUAGGUAAUUUUGGACGCAUCAGCGAUGCAGGGGUUUUUUCUAAUUCUUUCCUGGGACGAGCAGUGGAUCAAAAUAUGCUGAAUCUGCCACAUGAUAAAAAGUUGCCUAAAAGUGCAAGAGUUUUGCCUCAUGUAUUUUUAGGCGAUGAAGCAUUUGGUUUGAAAAAGCAUUUUUUGAGACCAUAUCCUCGGACCAGGAGUAAUUUAUCAUGCUCAGAGAAAAUUUAUAACUACAGACUCUCUCGAUCAAGAAGAUGCAUCGAAAAUGCAUUUGGCAUACUGUCAUCUCACUGGCAGGUUUUAAGAAAACCACUUCUUUUAACUCCAGAAAACAGUGAGACAGUUGUAAAUGCCUGUUGUUGCCUCCACAACUUUUUAAUUAAAGAUGGAAUUCAGAAUGGUAACAAACUAUAUUGUCCCAAAAUGUACGGUGACUACCCUUUGUUGAACGGAGAGGUCCAGGAUGGGCU
Long non-coding RNA from Stegodyphus dumicola, 879 nucleotides. Lineage: Eukaryota; Metazoa; Arthropoda; Arachnida; Araneae; Eresidae. The record is from RefSeq and is a predicted model, not a curated record.